Zingiber officinale is the source of this 151-nucleotide long non-coding RNA. RefSeq lists it as uncharacterized. Lineage: Eukaryota; Viridiplantae; Streptophyta; Magnoliopsida; Zingiberales; Zingiberaceae. The transcript has 3 exons. The record is from RefSeq and is a predicted model, not a curated record.
UCAACUGGACUCGCGAAGCUUGGAUAUCAAUACGUCAACAUCGAUGAUUGCUGGGCUGAGCACGACCGUGACUCCCAGGGAUACCUAGUGGCCAACGGAAGAACAUUUCCAUCAGGAAUCAAAGCUCUUGCAGAUUAUGUGCACAGCAAGG